UACGGGGGGAGCAAGCGUUGUUCGGAUUUACUGGGCGUAAAGGGCGCGUAGGCGGCCACGACAAGUCACUUGUGAAAUCUCCGGGCUUAACUCGGAACGGUCAAGUGAUACUGUCGGGCUAGAGUGCAGAAGGGGCAACUGGAAUUCUCGGUGUAGCGGUGAAAUGCGUAGAUAUCGAGAGGAACACCAGUGGCGAAGGCGGCUUCCUGGCCUGUUCUUGACGCUGAGGCGCGAAAGCUAGGGGAGCAAACGGG
RNAcentral lists this ribosomal RNA (254 nucleotides) under uncultured bacterium. RNAcentral's name for it is "partial 16S ribosomal RNA". It matches the Rfam family "Bacterial small subunit ribosomal RNA", at positions 524 to 776 of the family's 1533-position model. The record is from RNAcentral.